GUCCACGCUGUAAACGAUGUGCACUAGGCGUGGGGCCCGUACGGGUUCUGUGCCGUAGUUAACGUGUUAAGUGCACCGCCUGGGGAGUAUGCUCGCAAGGGUGAAACUCAAAGGAAUUGACGGGGCCCGCACAAGCGGUGGAGCAUGUGGUUUAAUUCGAUGGUACACGAGGAACCUUACCAGGGCUUGACAUGUGCGUGAAUGUUCACGAGAGUGGGCAGCCCCGCAAGGGGCGCGCACACAGGUGCUGCAUGGCUGUCGU
RNAcentral lists this ribosomal RNA (262 nucleotides) under uncultured bacterium. RNAcentral's name for it is "partial 16S ribosomal RNA". It matches the Rfam family "Bacterial small subunit ribosomal RNA", at positions 793 to 1055 of the family's 1533-position model. The record is from RNAcentral.